GGUGAGGUGCGAGAGUGGUUGAAUCGGGCGGUCUCGAAAACCGUUGAGCCUUCGCGGGCUCCGUGGGUUCGAAUCCCACCCUCACCGCCA
This 90-nucleotide transfer RNA is filed under the name Bryobacterales bacterium. Its description in RNAcentral is "tRNA-Ser". It matches the Rfam family "tRNA". From Rfam's summary of the family: Transfer RNA (tRNA) molecules are approximately 80 nucleotides in length. Their secondary structure includes four short double-helical elements and three loops (D, anti-codon, and T loops). Further hydrogen bonds mediate the characteristic L-shaped molecular structure. tRNAs have two regions of fundamental functional importance: the anti-codon, which is responsible for specific mRNA codon recognition, and the 3' end, to which the tRNAs corresponding amino acid is attached (by aminoacyl-tRNA synthetases). tRNAs cope with the degeneracy of the genetic code in two manners: having more than one tRNA (with a specific anti-codon) for a particular amino acid; and 'wobble' base-pairing, i.e. permitting non-standard base-pairing at the 3rd anti-codon position. The record is from RNAcentral. Lineage: Bacteria; Pseudomonadati; Acidobacteriota; Terriglobia; Bryobacterales.